This 157-nucleotide ribosomal RNA is filed under the name Penicillium annulatum. Its description in RNAcentral is "5.8S ribosomal RNA". It matches the Rfam family "5.8S ribosomal RNA". From Rfam's summary of the family: 5.8S ribosomal RNA (5.8S rRNA) is a component of the large subunit of the eukaryotic ribosome. Lineage: Eukaryota; Fungi; Ascomycota; Eurotiomycetes; Eurotiales; Aspergillaceae. The record is from RNAcentral.
AAACUUUCAACAACGGAUCUCUUGGUUCCGGCAUCGAUGAAGAACGCAGCGAAAUGCGAUAAGUAAUGUGAAUUGCAAAAUUCAGUGAAUCAUCGAGUCUUUGAACGCACAUUGCGCCCCCUGGUAUUCCGGGGGGCAUGCCUGUCCGAGCGUCAUU